AUUGAACGCUAGCGGGAUGCCUUACACAUGCAAGUCGAACGGAGUGGCGAACGGGUGAGUAAUGUAUCGGAACGUGCCCAGUAGCGGGGGAUAACUACGCGAAAGCGUAGCUAAUACCGCAUACUAUUUGAGCGGCCGAUAUCGGAUUAGCUGGUUGGUGGGGUAACGGCUCACCAAGGCGACGAUCCGUAGCAGGUUUGAGAGGACGACCAGCCACACUGGGACUGAGACAGGGCCCAGGCUCCUGCGGGGGGCAGAAGUGGGGAAUUUUGGACAAUGGGGGAACCCCUGAUCCAGCCGUCCCGCGUGUGCGAUGAAGGCCUUCGGGUUGUAAAGCACUUUUGGCAGGAGAGCGGUACCUGCAGAAUAAGCACCGGCUAACUACGUGCCAGCCGCCGCGGUAAUUC
This 407-nucleotide ribosomal RNA is filed under the name uncultured bacterium. Its description in RNAcentral is "partial 16S ribosomal RNA". It matches the Rfam family "Bacterial small subunit ribosomal RNA", at positions 30 to 526 of the family's 1533-position model. The record is from RNAcentral.